UAGUCCACGCCGUAAACGAUGUCUACUAGGUUGUGGGUGUUCUGACACAGUCACAGCCGGAGCAAAAGUGUUAAGUAGACCGCCUGGGGAGUACGGUCGCAAGGCUAAAACUCAAAGGAAUUGACGGGGGCUCACACAAGCGGUGGAGCAUGUGGAUUAAUUCGAAGCAACGCGCAGAACCUUACCUGGGUUUGACAUGUUUGGAUGCUUGCCUGGAAACAGGUUAAGUUGCCCUUCGGGGUGAAACUUACACAGGUGCUGCAUGGCUGUCGUCAGCUCGUGUCGUGAGAUGUCGGGUUAAGUCCUUUAACGAGCGAAACCCUUGCCGUUAGUUGCCAGCGAGUAAUGUCGGGGACUCUAGCGGGACUGCCGGUGUUAAACCGGAGGAAGGCGGGGAUGACGUCAAGUCCUCAUGGCCUUUAUGCCCAGGGCUUCACACGUGCUACAAUGGCCACUACAAAGCGAAGCGAGACCGCGAGGUGGAGCAAAUCGCAAAAAGUGGCCUCAGUUCGGAUU
Molecule: ribosomal RNA, 516 nt
Filed under: uncultured bacterium
Lineage: Bacteria
Description: bacterial SSU rRNA
Rfam family: Bacterial small subunit ribosomal RNA
Source: RNAcentral